GUCAAAAAGAUAGUGUCUCUUGUGAGAUCAGCGUGCAGCUUCCCUGGCCUUGAAGCCCAAGGCACAGAGGUGCUAGGCAGCAAAGGCAUUCAUGAGCUUCGGAGCAGCACCAGUGCCCUGCACCAUGCCCUAGAGGAGUCGGCUUCCCUCCUCACCAUGUUCUGGAGAGCGGCCCUGCCAAGCACCCACAUCCCUGUGCUGCCUGGCAAAGUGGGAGAAUCAACAGAAAGGGAACUUCUGGAACUGAGAACCAAAGUAUCCAAACAGGAGCGGCUCCUUCAGAGCACAACUGAGCAUCUGAAGACCGCCAACCAGCAGAAGGAGAGCAUGGAGCAGUUCAUCGUCAGCCAGCUAACCAGAACACAUGAUGUUUUAAAGAAGGCAAGGACUAACUUAGAGGUGAAAUCCCUAAGGGCUCUGCCGUGUACUCCAGCCUUGUGACCCUUGCCUUCCAGGAACCAUGCAAGAAGCGCAGCCACCAGAAGUCCUUAAAACAGCAGGAAAGAACUACAAGUUUAUAGGACAUGGAUUUCAGUGCCCUCAUCUGGCCAACCAUCUUCAGCUGCCAAUGCCCAAGUGUCUUCCUGGUACUACACAUGAAGAUGUCCCACUCUCCACUGCUCAAGGAGAGAGUGCCUGACCUGAGCUGGGCCCAUCAGAUCCAGUACUUACCUGGAAUAGGAAAACAAUGGGGAGGGUGACCAAAGAUUACAAAAAUCUCUGAAGCUUAUCUACUUGAGAGAGACUCCCUGAAGAUACUGGCCUGUCAUUCCUGCUAUGUAUAUCCAAUGUGACUGAACUCUGAAUAAAAUAUACAAGUUAUAA
RNAcentral lists this small RNA (825 nucleotides) under Pan troglodytes (chimpanzee). RNAcentral's name for it is "processed transcript". Lineage: Eukaryota; Metazoa; Chordata; Mammalia; Primates; Hominidae. The record is from RNAcentral.